Molecule: long non-coding RNA, 359 nt
Organism: Sander lucioperca (pikeperch)
Lineage: Eukaryota; Metazoa; Chordata; Actinopteri; Perciformes; Percidae
Exons: 3
Source: RefSeq, a predicted model, not a curated record
GUUUUUACAUCUUCAACCUACAGUACCAAGAGGAGGCAGCCUGCACACUUGAAUUCAUCCAGAGACGCUUUGUGGGUAUAAACCCAGAAAAAGGGACAAAGGCUGCAAAGGGGAAAAAAAGAAGAACUGUCAAUGCACACGUCGCCAGCCUCAUGCGCAGACUCAUGGAUUUUCAGUGGGAUUUCAUUUGAAAAAGACCCAAGACUUUCGAAAGGAUCCUCAUUGUGUGCUUUGAGAAAAUGGUUAGUGGUCUAUGCAGUGACAGUGUUUUUAUUGUUUAUUGCUCUUUAUUGACCAGGAGUUCCAUGAAGUGUUAAGUCUAGGCUUAAAUGUAUUCAUACAUGUUGAAUUUCAGUGGU